RNAcentral lists this ribosomal RNA (400 nucleotides) under uncultured bacterium. Its description in RNAcentral is "bacterial SSU rRNA". It matches the Rfam family "Bacterial small subunit ribosomal RNA", at positions 355 to 772 of the family's 1533-position model. The record is from RNAcentral.
UGGGGAAUAUUGGACAAUGGGGGAAACCCUGAUCCAGCGACGUCGCGUGGGUGAUGAAGGUCUUAGGAUUGUAAAACCCUUUUAUAAAAGAAGAUAAUGACUGUAUUUUAUGAAUAAGCCCCGGCUAACUUCGUGCCAGCAGCCGCGGUAAUACGAAGGGGGCAAGCGUUAUUCGGAAUGACUGGGCGUAAAGGGCGUGUAGGUGGAUUUGUACGUUUGAUGUGAAAGUCCUGGGCUUAACCUAGGGAUUGCAUUGAAUACGGCAAGUCUAGAGCGUGAGAGGGGAAAACGGAAUUGCGGGUGUAGAGGUGAAAUUCGUAGAUAUCCGCAGGAACACCAAUGGCGAAGGCAGUUUUCUGGCUCAUGGCUGACACUGAGGCGCGAAAGCGUGGGGAGCAAA